AUUGAACGCUGGCGGCAUGCUUUACACAUGCAAGUCGAACGGCAGCGCGGGCUUCGGCCUGGCGGCGAGUGGCGAACGGGUGAGUAAUGCAUCGGAACGUGCCCAGUAGUGGGGGAUAGCCCGGCGAAAGCCGGAUUAAUACCGCAUACCACCUGAGGGUGAAAGCGGGGGACCGAAAGGCCUCGCGCUAUUGGAGCCGCCGAUGUCGGAUUAGCUAGUUGGUGGGGUAAAGGCUUACCAAGGCGACGAUCCGUAGCUGGUCUGAGAGGACGACCAGCCACACUGGGACUGAGACACGGCCCAGACUCCUACGGGAGGCAGCAGUGGGGAAUUUUGGACAAUGGGGGCAACCCUGAUCCAGCCAUGCCGCGUGCGGGAAGAAGGCCUUCGGGUUGUAAACCGCUUUUGUUCGGGAAGAAAUCCUCUGGGCUAAUACCCCGGGGGGAUGACGGUACCGGAAGAAUAAGCACCGGCUAACUACGUG
This 484-nucleotide ribosomal RNA is filed under the name uncultured bacterium. Its description in RNAcentral is "partial 16S ribosomal RNA". It matches the Rfam family "Bacterial small subunit ribosomal RNA", at positions 28 to 507 of the family's 1533-position model. The record is from RNAcentral.